CUUUCUUACCAAGCUGGAAAAGUCCAAAAGCCAUAAACGACAAUUUAACUAAGCACACGUCCACUGAGUUUAAGUAGAUUUAAAAGUAUUGUUUUUUGUUUUUUCCAGGAGUCAUGAUGUCCGUGCUCAAUAUGAAUAAUUCUGGCUCAGAAGCUGCUGAAACUUAUUCUGUGAUCAGCUCAGUACCCUUACCGGCCCUGCCUUUCGGUCGACACGUAUCAUGUGUACAGCUCCAUCCCUGACACACACGUGACCACCAAUGACGCAGUGUACAGCCUGCUGCAGAUGCACUGAUGUAUAUUACACCUUAAUGAAUGUAAAUAGUUAUUUACAGUAUUAUUCUUAUGCCUGUUAUGCCUUAACAUGUGCUUUAAUUGAAUAGCUUGCUUUUGGAUUUGAAAUGAAUUGGACUGCUGCUGGCUUGUAACUGCGAUGUCACUGAAUGGAGCUCAAGACUGAGUCCAGAUUAAUAAAGAGCUGAUGGUUUUACAGUUGCUUCAUGAAUAAGUUUUUUACAGUUGCUUCAUGAAUAAGUAACUUUAUUACUAUUGUUUUUUUUAAAUUAUUAUUUUACACUCCUACAGCAGUUUCUGAAUCUUGCUUUUUUCCAUCCACAGCCUUUCUUCAAA
Molecule: long non-coding RNA, 629 nt
Organism: Ictalurus punctatus (channel catfish)
Lineage: Eukaryota; Metazoa; Chordata; Actinopteri; Siluriformes; Ictaluridae
Source: Ensembl